CAAGGCCAAGAGACCCUGUGGCCUAUAAGACCUAAAAUAUUUAUUCUCUGGCCCUCUGCAGAGAGUUUCUGGACCUUCGUAUUAAAGAAAUACGAAGCAACAUCUUUUCAGACAACAUUCGAUUUAUUUUAAUUAUUUCAGGUGUUUAAUCCCUGUAAAUAACAGAAGACCGGUGUCCAACUAACCUAAGUAACGUGGGGGACUGAAGACAGCCUUGUACUCUUCACAACUUUUCUUACCAAGGAGUCAUCUUCAAACCUGACAAGGUCCAGAGAAAGAGGAAAAUACGUUCUUAUAAAAGUGAAAAUGCAGGCUGAACGUGAUCUACCCUAGAAUCAAAAAUGGGACCACCUCCACCAACUCACUGAGGAAAGCAGAUACCUGAUCAUAAUUGGGAUUUCAUCAGGGAGGAAAUAGAUCCUAUGGAACCUUGGUGUAGUGGACUUCCAAAUUGGUUAUAAACAGGUAAGAUAUUUAUUAAAAAUACAGAUGCCCCAGCUCCAUGCCAAACUUAGCUUCCUCUAUUUUUAACAACC
Long non-coding RNA from Cavia porcellus (domestic guinea pig), 536 nucleotides. RefSeq lists it as uncharacterized. The record is from RefSeq and is a predicted model, not a curated record. NCBI's taxonomy places the organism in Eukaryota, Metazoa, Chordata, Mammalia, Rodentia, Caviidae. The transcript is spliced from 3 exons.